GUCGGUUACUGCAACAACAUAUAUUCUGUCGGCUGCUAAUUCAGACAUUCCGUUAGAUGUCGGCUGCUAAUUCAGACAUCUAGUUAGAUGUCGGCUGCUAAUCUAGGUAUAGCACCGGCUACAAACUUUAUCAAACUCGAAAUUGU
This is a non-coding RNA of Caenorhabditis elegans, 146 nucleotides long. The record is from Ensembl. Lineage: Eukaryota; Metazoa; Nematoda; Chromadorea; Rhabditida; Rhabditidae.